This 449-nucleotide ribosomal RNA is filed under the name uncultured bacterium. RNAcentral's name for it is "bacterial SSU rRNA". It matches the Rfam family "Bacterial small subunit ribosomal RNA", at positions 29 to 524 of the family's 1533-position model. The record is from RNAcentral.
AACGAACGCUGGCGGCAGGCCUAACACAUGCAAGUCGAACGCCCUAGCAAUAGGGAGUGGCAGACGGGUGAGUAACGCGUGGGAACGUACCCUUCGGUUCGGAAUAACCCAGGGAAACUUGGACUAAUACCGGAUACGUGCGAGAGCAGAAAGAUUUAUCGCCGAAGGAUCGGCCCGCGUCCGAUUAGCUAGUUGGUGAGGUAAUGGCUCACCAAGGCGACGAUCGGUAGCUGGCUGAGAGGAUGAUCAGCCACACUGGGACUGAGACACGGCCCAGACUCCUACGGGAGGCAGCAGUGGGGAAUAUUGGACAAUGGGCGCAAGCCUGAUCCAGCCAUGCCGCGUGAGUGAUGAAGGCCCUAGGGUUGUAAAGCUCUUUUGCCCGGGAAGAUAAUGACGGUACCGGGAGAAUAAGCCCCGGCUAACUUCGUGCCAGCAGCCGCAGUAAG